Molecule: ribosomal RNA, 496 nt
Filed under: uncultured bacterium
Lineage: Bacteria
Description: partial 16S ribosomal RNA
Rfam family: Bacterial small subunit ribosomal RNA
Source: RNAcentral
ACGAACGCUGGCGGCGUGCCUAAUACAUGCAAGUAGAACGCUGAAGAGAGGAGCUUGCUCUUCUUGGAUGAGUUGCGAACGGGUGAGUAACGCGUAGGUAACCUGCCUUGUAGCGGGGGAUAACUAUUGGAAACGAUAGCUAAUACCGCAUAACAAUGGAUGACACAUGUCAUUUAUUUGAAAGGGGCAAUUGCUCCACUACAAGAUGGACCUGCGUUGUAUUAGCUAGUAGGUGAGGUAAUGGCUCACCUAGGCGACGAUACAUAGCCGACCUGAGAGGGAGAGCGGCCACACUGGGACUGAGACACGGCCCAGACUACUACGGGAGGCAGCAGUAGGGAAGCUUCGGCAAGGGGGGCAACCCUGACCGAGAAACGCCGAGUGAGUGAAGAAGGUUUUCGGAUCGUAAAGCUCUGUUGUAAGUCAAGAACGGGUGUGAGAGUGGAAAGUUCACACUGUGACGGUAGCUUACCAGAAAGGGACGGAUAACUACGUG